Molecule: non-coding RNA, 3374 nt
Organism: Podarcis muralis (Common wall lizard)
Lineage: Eukaryota; Metazoa; Chordata; Lepidosauria; Squamata; Lacertidae
Source: RefSeq, a predicted model, not a curated record
UAAACAAGUCCAUUGCUUGAACGACAUCCGCGUCUCCUCGCGCGUCGGGGCCUCCUGUAUAAUUCAUGAGCCAGGGCCGCUUUGCGUAAUUCACAAUUAAGGCCCGGCCAACGAGCUUUCAUGUUUCCUGUUGCGCUCCCUCAACUUUUUGUGGUUCCUAGUCAACAGUUAGACAAGCUUGCCUGAGAUGGUCUGCGGGGAGACACAGUAUUUGUGUAUUAGUAGGGAGCUUAUGAAUUAUGUAGCCACCGUUGGUAAGCCAAAGGGAUCGGCUGCUGCAACAAGCCAGCUGGCUUUUGAAAAAUAGGAGAGAGAGACAGGGAGAGGGAGAGCCAUAUUUAACUGGGUAUGUUAUUGAUUUAAAACACACACACACACACACAACACACCUGCAUUUCAAGGAAGAUUGGGGAUUUGGGGAUAGGGAAAAACACCUUAUAGAUUUUUAAAAUUAUGAUUUCAGCCCAAGAUCCUUCAUUCUUUCCCUUCGGACUGUUUAAUCCCUUUGGAUUUACCGCAGUUCUGCUGUAGCGCAGCCUUCAUGAGCAAGGGAUUGCUCAAAAGUACAUCCCCCUUCUGAAUACUUCUGACACUUAUUCUGAUGGAACAGGAUUCCAAGGGAGCUUUACUUGAAAGGCCAGCGGGGUUUAAAAUCCCCCUGACAGCAGUAAGGCUAGUGUCUCCUAGCCUUAGGAGGAAUUCAGAAUUUGAUGGAAACUGGUCCGAUCUGCCCCAUCUGUGUUUGUCAGUGGUGAGUCAGGAUUCUAGCUUUGUCGCCAGCCUCCUCCUUUUUGUUGCAUUCUACAAGGGCAAUUUUGUUGGAUUCUACAAGAGGCGAAGGAAGAGGACGCUAACAGGCAGUGCCACCCCCUGGACUGGUUCUAGGCCCUUUUCACUGUCUCAAUAAUAUCCAGAAUGUUGCACUCCUAUGCUGCCUUCCUUGAAAGACUCCAAAGGAACACUUCCUUGCUUCCUCUCCCUCAUCUUAUUCUGCCUCACGUCACUCACCAAACUAUGCCCUGCCUGCAUUGUGAAUUAAAGACCCGUCUAGCUUCCAGACUGUCUGGGAUCUCUUCCCAAAUGGACCUGCCAGGACACUUUCCCAAAAUCCAGUAAAAACAGAGAGAAAAAGGCAUUUUGGAGAAAAAUAGAGCCUUUCUUCAAUGGAUGGGCUGGCCCUGAAUGUUUGCACAAUGCUGCACUUGAUUGCUGAUACAUGUUUGCUGACUGCACAGUGGACUUCAUUUUCCAGACCUGUCAAUCAGGCAUUUUUAUAGGAGAAGUGAGGAGAACAUAGAGCAAUGGGGACGUAAGUUAAAGGCCUGACAGCUCUAGCAGAGAGCAGUGACUGGAGCCUUGAGCACUGAAAGACGUUGAAGCAUUGUUUCUCAGAAUACAAUGAUUCACCUAAAACACCUCCUCUCUUCCUGCAGGGGCCUGUCCUAUUGAUACAUCUAGGGAGAGAGAGGCAGGCAAGCAGCACUCUUAUACAAAAUACAACAUGGCACUCUGCUUUUUGUCAAACUUAGCAAUCCCACUCAUUGUCCUUGAGGAUGUGCUUGACAGAAUGAGAGUCUCCCUUUAGAAAAUAGAUACCCUGUAGAGUCAGAAGGAAUUGUGGCAUAUAUCGCACAGAGAGAUCUGCCAUUGUGGAUCAGUCCAAUGAUCCAUCUAAGCCAAUAUUCUGUCUAGCUCUUCGUUAGAGCCGACAAAACUUCAUUAAGAGAGCUGUUAAGCACCCCAGCCUUGCUCCUGCUGCUAGCAACAGCAACAGCACCAGCACCACACCACAACACAACACAAGAGAGACAUAGGAGAUACAAACAAACAAAUAAAUGGCAGAGUUUCAAGUCAACAUGAUGAUUCAGGGUGGGUUCCCGGGUUCUCAACCCUAUUUAGGACACAUUCUCAUGUUUAAUGGAUCUUUUGAGAAAUGUUUAUUCAUGGCAAUGCAUGUCACAGAGGGUGGUGACAUGAAAAUGGGCAUUUUCACCAUUGCCCCUGCAUUGGGCGAUGUCCUCUCUGCCACAUGUGAAGCACUAUUCACCAUUCACUUCAGACAUCUGCAAAGAGAUACAUUAUUGCUCAGGCUUUUUCUGACCAUAAGACUGGACCCCAUUAUUUGUGAAUUCCUGUCUUUAUUAUACUGGUUUUUUAAAAAAAUCUUAUAUUGUAUUUCUGCAUAGUGCUUAAGAUAUGUUUAAAUAUUAAGAGGCCUAAAAUGAUUUUAAAUUAAAUUAAACCAACUCUCCCACCCAGAGUCAGCGGAACUUCUAAAGUGCUGAGCAUUGACUAGCUCCAUUGUAAUUUAGAUUCAACUCUUAGGCAUUUGGGAGGAAGUAAAAUUAAGAACAAGUUAUUAAAAGCAUUUAAAAGAUAAUUAAAAUUAAUAGGAAGCCAUUUUUUAAAUAAAAAAAUACAGUUCCCAGAAUUAUUUGGGGGAAGCCAUUUGCAUUAAAUGUUCUUUAAAUGUGUAGUGUGUGUGCAUCCUUGUGUUGUAACAAACUAACCUGGCAACCUCUCUAGAAUUCAAAAUACUGGGGAAGCUUCCCUGGGCAGUUAAUAAGAGUCCUGCACUGAUGACCAUAACAGAUACUUCUCCCUGGUUUUUAUGUAUCUCAGCUGUUCUGGUGAAAGGUUCCAAGGGUCGAAACUCAGUGAUAAUUCCAUUGUAAACUGAAAGGCUGAGGGAUCACAAGUGAUAAUUCUUAAUACUUGCACAGGAAUUUAUCCACCUCCUUGAAGCAUGAGCCAAGCCUUCUGUUAAUCCACCCAAAUGCCGCCAGUUCAAUGCAAUGAGCAAUUAGUUAAUGUUUGUGGAGUUCUUGGCAAACAUUGGGUUCUAAUUGGUAUUAUCCGUAUCUACACUGAAACAUUUUGAAAGAGCCCAGUGAGGUUAAAUGGGUUCAUGUGAAAACAGGCUGUAUUGGCAAGGUUCCAUCCUUUAUUUAUUCAUUUGCUUACAAUUGUAUUGAUUUUUAAAAUGAAAAACAUAAGCAAAAGACAUAACCACCACUGUAUUACUUUAGAAACAUCCAUUAAUAAUAGCUGUAUUGACAAAGCUGACAAAGGGAAUAAAAAAAUAGCCAGUCUGUGCAAUUGAUCGAGAAGAGACUCUGCAGAAACUGGAAUUUGGGCAAGACCUCAGGUCCUGUCCUGGCCUUGGGAUACUCUUGAAUAUGGCCUCGUUCUAACCCUGCAGCUUUGUGAACUCAAACUGAAUGUAACAGGGCAACAAUCCAUAUAAAAUGAAAGGGGGUCUGUUAGUUUUUACUAUCUGCAUUUUAACAGAUUUGUCUUUGUAUUGUUUUAAUUCUAUUACCGUUUAACUAAUUUUAAACUAUUUUCUUUUACAUGUUUUUAGCCUCCUGUGU